Molecule: transfer RNA, 55 nt
Filed under: Aspiculuris sp. PC-2022
Lineage: Eukaryota; Metazoa; Nematoda; Chromadorea; Rhabditida; Heteroxynematidae
Description: tRNA-Ser
Source: RNAcentral
AAUAGAUUUUUAGUGAGUCUUCUAAACUUAUUUUGACUUUUGUGGUCGUCUGUUG